Molecule: ribosomal RNA, 459 nt
Filed under: uncultured bacterium
Lineage: Bacteria
Description: partial 16S ribosomal RNA
Rfam family: Bacterial small subunit ribosomal RNA
Source: RNAcentral
CCUACGGGCGGCUGCAGUGAGGAAUAUUGGUCAAUGGGCGAGAGCCUGAACCAGCCAAGUCGCGUGAGGGAUGACGGUCCUAUGGAUUGUAAACCUCUUUUGUCGGGGAACAAAGGCGUCCACGUGUGGACUGAUGAGUGUACCCGAAGAAAAAGCAUCGGCUAACUCCGUGCCAGCAGCCGCGGUAAUACGGAGGAUGCGAGGGUUAUCCGGAUUUAUUGGGUUUAAAGGGUGCGUGGGCGGACAGUCAAGUCAGCGGUAAAAAUGCGGUGCUAAACGCCGUACAGCCGUUGAAACUGGCAGUCUUGAGGGGGCGAGAGGGAUGCGGAAUGCGAGGUGGAGCGGUGAAAUGCAUAGAGAUCACGCAGAACUCCGAUUGCGAAGGCAGCAUACCGGCGCCCUACUGACGCUGAGGCACGAAAGCGUGGGUAUCGAACAGGAUUAGAUACCCGGGUAGUC